This 395-nucleotide ribosomal RNA is filed under the name uncultured bacterium. Its description in RNAcentral is "bacterial SSU rRNA". It matches the Rfam family "Bacterial small subunit ribosomal RNA", at positions 29 to 433 of the family's 1533-position model. The record is from RNAcentral.
AACGAACGCUGGCGGCAGGCCUAACACAUGCAAGUCGAACGCCGUAGCAAUACGGAGUGGCAGACGGGUGAGUAACGCGUGGGAACAUACCCUCCGGUUCGGAAUAACUCAGGGAAACUUGAGCUAAUACCGGAUACGUCCAAGGUUUUAAUCGGCCUUGGAGAAAGAUUUAUCGCUGGAGGAUUGGCCCGCGUCUGAUUAGCUUGUUGGUGAGGUAAUGGCUCACCAAAGGCGACGANCAGUAGCUGGUCUGAGAGGAUGAUCAGCCACAUUGGGACUGAGACACGGCCCAAACUCCUACGGGAGGCAGCAGUGGGGAAUAUUGGACAAUAGGGCGGAAAGACCUGAUCCAGCCAUGCCGCGUGAGUGAUGAAGGCCUUAGGGUUGUGAAGCUC